AUGAGCACAAUACGAUGAAAGUUGUAAGCUGUGUUUGGAGGAAAGUUAUUGUCUAUUGUUGGCUUCUAUGGUAGAAUUAGUCGAGGGCCUAAGAAAUGGUGGUUUACCCUGU
Molecule: non-coding RNA, 112 nt
Filed under: Cucumis melo (muskmelon)
Lineage: Eukaryota; Viridiplantae; Streptophyta; Magnoliopsida; Cucurbitales; Cucurbitaceae
Source: RNAcentral